AGCAGCCGCGGUAAUUCCAGCUCCAAUAGCGUAUAUUAAAGUUGUUGCAGUUAAAAAGCUCGUAGUUGAACUUCGGGGUUUACCCAUUGGUCAGGCUUAAUUGUCUGUACUGGUGAGAUAAAUCUCUACCUUCUGAGGAACUUUCAUGUCAUUAAUUUGGUGUGAUUGGAAAUCAGGACUGUUACUUUGAAAAAAUUAGAGUGUUUAAAGCAGGCUAACGUCUGAAUACAUUAGCAUGGAAUAAUGAAAUAGGACGGACUGAUUCUAUUUCGUUGGUUUCUAGGAUCACCGUAAUGAUUAAUAGGGAUAGUUGGGGGCAUUAGUAUUCAAUUGUCAGAGGUGAAAUUCUUGGAUUUAUUGAAGACUAACUACUGCGAAAGCAUUUGCCAAGGAUGUUUUCAUUAAUCAAGAACGAAAGUUAGGGGAUCGAAGACGAUCAGAUACCGUCGUAGUCUUAACCAUAAACUAUGCCGACUAGGGAUCGGACGAAGUUAUUAUAAUUGACGCGUUCGGCACCUUA
RNAcentral lists this ribosomal RNA (520 nucleotides) under uncultured Diversispora. RNAcentral describes it as "SSU rRNA". It matches the Rfam family "Eukaryotic small subunit ribosomal RNA", at positions 569 to 1090 of the family's 1831-position model. Lineage: Eukaryota; Fungi; Glomeromycota; Glomeromycetes; Diversisporales; Diversisporaceae. The record is from RNAcentral.